AACAGUUAUCGUUCUCCUUAGGAUGCGCGUUGCUCCCCUGUGCACACACUCUCUCUCUAGCAUCCCCGCCAGUUUCAUGUGUUCUUCGCCUUUCUUUAAAUUGGGGGUUGGUUAUUAACCGUUAAACCGGCUUUUCAGGUCUAAUAUCUGUAUUUUAAAAAAAAAAAAAAAAACACUGGUGAAAGAAUGUCAGACGGAACAAGUAUGGUGAUGGAGUCUUCUGAAAAUGGGACAGAUAUUUCCCAAGACGAUACUGGCAACAUGGAAGAAAUACCUGAAGAUACAAUAUUGUUGCGACAAACUUCUGUGAACCUUGUUCCAUUUAUUGGCCAAAGAUUUGUAUCUCAAGAUGCUGCUUAUGAAUUUUAUUGCAGUUUUGCGAAGCAAUGUGGCUUUUCAAUUAGACGUCAUCGUACUCGUGGAAAGGACGGUGUUGGUAGAGG
RNAcentral lists this unclassified non-coding RNA (443 nucleotides) under Hevea brasiliensis (rubber tree). Lineage: Eukaryota; Viridiplantae; Streptophyta; Magnoliopsida; Malpighiales; Euphorbiaceae. The record is from RNAcentral.